Onthophagus taurus is the source of this 567-nucleotide long non-coding RNA. RefSeq lists it as uncharacterized. Lineage: Eukaryota; Metazoa; Arthropoda; Insecta; Coleoptera; Scarabaeidae. The record is from RefSeq and is a predicted model, not a curated record.
UUCCUAAAUUUACUUUAAUAACAAUGCUUAUUUACGAGAGAUAAAUUUUUAAAUAAAAUAGAUAACUGCGGUUAUCGACUGAAAUAUCGAUAUUAGAGAGAACCCGUUUAUUAUUUGAGAGAGAGAGAGUAGGAUAAAACUCGUUAGAACCGUUCUUUGAAAAUAACAAAUGGCCGACGUCUUAAGUUGUCAUCAAACUCGUUGAAGAAAAAUAGAAUUAAAUAAAUGAACGUUAUUCAAGAAAACUAAUAAAUCUUUACCCACAAGUUAUGUUAAAUAAUAAAAUAAAAUUAUCAUCCGACUCACUGUGAAAAAGAAAGGAUUGGAGUUCAAUGUGGUAUCUGGAUUAUGGAUUGUCUCUUGUGUUCGGGGCACUAACUAAUUUUCUGGAUUGUCUACAGGAUUCUUCUUACGGGAAAUUGAACUGCUUGUUCUUCGGAAAUAGGGUCUUGGAUGAUCUCGAAGAAGUAUCAGUAGUUCUCGGAAUAGGUUGUAGGAUGAUUCUCUUUUUAUUUUAAUAUCACAUACAUUGGAGUACACGCCAAAUUUCAACAAUGAGUAAAGUUA